Molecule: ribosomal RNA, 453 nt
Filed under: uncultured bacterium
Lineage: Bacteria
Description: bacterial SSU rRNA
Rfam family: Bacterial small subunit ribosomal RNA
Source: RNAcentral
UAGUCCACGCCGUAAACGAUGUCAACUAGUUGCUUGUGACUUUAAGUCGUGGGUGACGGAGCUAACGCAUUAAGUUGACCGCCUGGGGAGUACGGCCGCAAGGUUAAAACUCAAAUGAAUUGACGGGGCCCGCACAAGCGGUGGAGCAUGUGGUUUAAUUCGAUGCAACGCGAAGAACCUUACCAUCCCUUGACAUCCAGAGAACUUUCCAGAGAUGGAUUGGUGCCUUCGGGAACUCUGAGACAGGUGCUGCAUGGCUGUCGUCAGCUCGUGUUGUGAAAUGUUGGGUUAAGUCCCGCAACGAGCGCAACCCUUGUCCUUAUUUGCCAGCACGUAAUGGUGGGAACUCCAGGGAGACUGCCGGUGAUAAACCGGAGGAAGGUGGGGACGACGUCAAGUCAUCAUGGCCCUUACGAGUAGGGGCUACACACGUGCUACAAUGGCGCAUACAGA